Molecule: ribosomal RNA, 640 nt
Filed under: Escherichia coli
Lineage: Bacteria; Pseudomonadati; Pseudomonadota; Gammaproteobacteria; Enterobacterales; Enterobacteriaceae
Description: partial 23S ribosomal RNA
Rfam family: Bacterial large subunit ribosomal RNA
Source: RNAcentral
CGAAUGCUGACAUAAGUAACGAUAAAGCGGGUGAAAAGCCCGCUCGCCGGAAGACCAAGGGUUCCUGUCCAACGUUAAUCGGGGCAGGGUGAGUCGACCCCUAAGGCGAGGCCGAAAGGCGUAGUCGAUGGGAAACAGGUUAAUAUUCCUGUACUUGGUGUUACUGCGAAGGGGGGACGGAGAAGGCUAUGUUGGCCGGGCGACGGUUGUCCCGGUUUAAGCGUGUAGGCUGGUUUUCCAGGCAAAUCCGGAAAAUCAAGGCUGAGGCGUGAUGACGAGGCACUACGGUGCUGAAGCAACAAAUGCCCUGCUUCCAGGAAAAGCCUCUAAGCAUCAGGUAACAUCAAAUCGUACCCCAAACCGACACAGGUGGUCAGGUAGAGAAUACCAAGGCGCUUGAGAGAACUCGGGUGAAGGAACUAGGCAAAAUGGUGCCGUAACUUCGGGAGAAGGCACGCUGAUAUGUAGGUGAAGUCCCUCGCGGAUGGAGCUGAAAUCAGUCGAAGAUACCAGCUGGCUGCAACUGUUUAUUAAAAACACAGCACUGUGCAAACACGAAAGUGGACGUAUACGGUGUGACGCCUGCCCGGUGCCGGAAGGUUAAUUGAUGGGGUCAGCGCAAGCGAAGCUCUUGAUCGAA